RNAcentral lists this ribosomal RNA (497 nucleotides) under uncultured bacterium. RNAcentral's name for it is "partial 16S ribosomal RNA". It matches the Rfam family "Bacterial small subunit ribosomal RNA", at positions 28 to 523 of the family's 1533-position model. The record is from RNAcentral.
GAUGAACGCUGGCGGCGUGCUUAACACAUGCAAGUCGAACGAAGCACCUUAUUCUGAUUUCUUCGGAAUGAAAAAUUUGGUGACUGAGUGGCGGACGGGUGAGUAACGCGUGGGUAACCUGCCUCAUACAGGGGGAUAACAGUUAGAAAUGACUGCUAAUACCGCAUAAGACCACAGCACCGCAUGGUGCAAGGGUAAAAACUCCGGUGGUAUGAGAUGGACCCGCGUCUGAUUAGGUAGUUGGUGGGGUGACGGCCUACCAAAGCAACGAUCAGUAGCCGGCCUGAGAGGGUGAACGGCCACAUUGGGACUGAGACACGGCCCAAACUCCUACGGGAGGCAGCAGUGGGGAAUAUUGCACGAUGGGGGAAACCCUGAUGCAGCGACUCCGCGUGAGUGAAGAAGUUAUUCGUAACGUAAAGCUCUAUCGGCAGGGAAGAAAAUGACGGUACCUGACUAAGAAGCCCCGGCUAACUACGUGCCAGCCGCCGCAGUAA